GAUGAACGCUAGCUACAGGCUUAACACAUGCAAGUCGAGGGGCAGCAUGGUCUUAGCUUGCUAAGGCCGAUGGCGACCGGCGCACGGGUGAGUAACACGUAUCCAACCUGCCGUCUACUCUUGGACAGCCUUCUGAAAGGAAGAUUAAUACAAGAUGGCAUCAUGAGUCCGCAUGUUCACAUGAUUAAAGGUAUUCCGGUAGACGAUGGGGAUGCGUUCCAUUAGAUAGUAGGCGGGGUAACGGCCCACCUAGUCUUCGAUGGAUAGGGGUUCUGAGAGGAAGGUCCCCCACAUUGGAACUGAGACACGGUCCAAACUCCUACGGGAGGCAGCAGUGAGGAAUAUUGGUCAAUGGGCGCAGGCCUGAACCAGCCAAGUAGCGUGAAGGAUGACGGCCCUAUGGGUUGUAAACUUCUUUUAUAAAGGAAUAAAGUCGGGUAUGUAUACCCGUUUGCAUGUACUUUAUGAAUAAGGAUCGGCGAACUCCGU
This 489-nucleotide ribosomal RNA is filed under the name uncultured bacterium. RNAcentral describes it as "partial 16S ribosomal RNA". It matches the Rfam family "Bacterial small subunit ribosomal RNA", at positions 28 to 506 of the family's 1533-position model. The record is from RNAcentral.